UUGCAGGCUGCAACUCGCCUGCAUGAAGUCGGAAUUGCUAGUAAUCGUAGGUCAGCAUACUACGGUGAAUACGUUCCCGGGCCUUGUACACACCGCCCGUCAAACCAUGAGAGUUGGCAACACCCGAAGUCGGUAGUCUAACCGCAAGGAGGACGCCGCCGAAGGUGGGGUUGAUGAUUAGGGUUAAGUCGUAACAAGGUAGC
Molecule: ribosomal RNA, 203 nt
Filed under: uncultured bacterium
Lineage: Bacteria
Description: partial 16S ribosomal RNA
Rfam family: Bacterial small subunit ribosomal RNA
Source: RNAcentral